Molecule: unclassified non-coding RNA, 1199 nt
Filed under: Hevea brasiliensis (rubber tree)
Lineage: Eukaryota; Viridiplantae; Streptophyta; Magnoliopsida; Malpighiales; Euphorbiaceae
Source: RNAcentral
UAAGGAAGUCAGGUGUGAUGUACAGCACUACAUAUUGAAAACUAGAUCCUUGACUUUCUCCUAUGGUUAAAGUUGUUAGUGGAGUUGAACUCAAAUAUCUUUUGUCGGCUUGUGAAGCAACUAAGGCAACUAUCUUCUUUUUUCCAAUCUCCUCCUGAUAGCGAUCUAAUCUAAGAGUUUCCAAGCCCCUCAAGUACCCUACGGUGCAUAUACCUUGAGCAUAAUAAGGCAAUUGUAUUAUAGGCAAAUUGAAAGCACCAAAUCUGUAACUUCCGAAUAAAUACCCAACCUCAGAUUGUUUGAAGAAGUCAAGCAAAUAGCUCAAUUCAGCUUGUGUACCAUUCAACUUGGUUGAAUCCUCAGAGAAAAAAUUAGGCUGCAAUAUAUCACCGGUGAAAACUAUUGGAACUUUAAUGCCUCUGCCAAGAAUUCUUUUAAUAUCCUCUUCACAAAUUCUCUUUUUGUUUCUGAUAACCUCCUGGUCUUUCUCAGCUUCCUCACUCAGCCACUUCAAAGCAAUUAAAUCCGAGUACCCAGGAGGUAGUUGAGACACUUCAUCCAAGCAAAUUAAUUUAUUCAACACCUGAGAUAAUAGUGCUGUUUCAAAUGUCUUGAAAUUCCUGAUUUUAGAACUCUUUUCCUCUUCACUCAAUUCAUGGACUUUAGCAACAAUCUGAUCCAAAACACUUUUCCUAGAUGAGAUUAAGAGAAAAUCCUGGAGAUUCUUGCCAUCAAUUAGAAACUCAGUUAAAUUAUGCGUCUUUCCAGAUCCAGCAAAUCCAAUAAAUGGUAUUAAAUUAAAUUCCAUCUUCUCAUUUAUCAAAUCCAAGAUAGGCUCUUCAUUUAUGAGUAAAUCAAUUAAACUCCGAUUGAUUAGCCUGCCAUCAUUUACUUUUUGACGAUCAAUUAAAGCCCCACAAUUCAUGCUUUUAAAGCUUCUCAAUAGUUGUAAACCCCUGCAAGAAUUGAUUUUCUUCUUAAUCAUCCUAGGUUUUUCAAAGCCAUAUACUCCUUGAUAAAUCUUCGACAUGCUCUCAUUAAUGGACUCACAUGAUUCAAUUUGGUUCUGUAGAUUGAAAAUGUGCCCCGGCCUUCCACCCAGAUGCAUAAUGUGUUUAUCUGGAGAGAAAUUAAAACUCUUAAUGUCAGAACCUAAAUGCAGGCAUAUGUACCAGUCCAUUACUAAGCAAAUUCUGUGA